This 1992-nucleotide long non-coding RNA is filed under the name Betta splendens (Siamese fighting fish). RNAcentral's name for it is "lncRNA (ENSBSLG00000006109.1)". Lineage: Eukaryota; Metazoa; Chordata; Actinopteri; Anabantiformes; Osphronemidae. The record is from RNAcentral.
AUGAGGAGACCUGCUGUUCUAAGGGACGAGGACCAGGCUAAAUCUGAAAGAAACAAAUCUGCUGAAUUAGAUUCUCCUGCAUCUGCGUUCUCCUCCUACGCCUGCGUUCUCCUCCUACGCCUGCGUUCUCCUCCUACGCCUGCGUUCUCCUCCUACGUCUGCGUUCUCCUCCUACGCCUGCGUUCUCCCCCUACAUCUGCGUUCUCCUCCUAUAUCUGCAUUCUAUUUUUACACCUGCCUUCUCCUCCUACAUCUGCCUUCUCCUCCUACGUCUGCGUUCUCCUCCUACGUCUGCGUUCUCCUCCUACGCCUGCGUUCUCCCCCUACAUCUGCGUUCUCCUCCUAUAUCUGCAUUCUAUUUUUACACCUGCCUUCUCCUCCUACAUCUGCCUUCUCCUCCUACGUCUGCGUUCUCCUCCUACAUCUGCGUUCUCCUCCUACGCCUGCGUUCUCCUCCUACAUCUGCGUUCUCCUCCUAUAUCUGCAUUCUAUUUUUACACCUGCCUUCUCCUCCUACAUCUGCCUUCUCCUGCUACGUCUACGUUCUCCUCCUACGUCUGUCUCCUCCUCCUACGCCUGCCUUCUCCUCCUAACCCUGCCUUCUCCUACGUCUGCGUUCUCCUCCUACAUUUGCGUUCUCCUCCUACGUCUGUCUCCUUCUCCUAUGUCUGCGUUCUCUUCCUACGUCUGCCUUCUCCUUCUAUAUCUGCAUUCUCUUUUUACACCUGCCUUCUCCUCCUACGUCUGCGUUCUCCUCCUACGCCUGCCUUCUCCUCCUUCGCCUGGUCCUCCUCUUGCGUCUGUCUCCUCCUACUGUACGUCUGCCUUCUCCUCCUAUUUCUGUGUUCUUCUUUUACGCCAGCCUUCUCCUCCUACGUCUGCGUUCUCCUCCUACGCCUGCUAUCUCCUCCUACGCCUGCCUUCUCCUCCUAUAUCUGCGUUCUCCUGCUACGUCUACGUUCUCCUCCUACGUCUGUCUCCUCCUCCUACGCCUGCGUUCUCCUCCUACGCCUGCCUUCUCCUCCUAUGUCUGCGUUCUCCUCCUACCUCUGCGUUUUCGUCCUACGUCUGCCUUCUCCUCCUAUAUCUGCAUUCUCUUUUUACACCUGCCUUCUCCUCCUACGCCUGCCUUCUCCUCUUUCGCCUGGUCCUCCUCUUGCAUCUGUCUCCUCCUACUGUACGCCUGCGUUCUCCUCCUACGCCUGCCUUCUCCUCCUAACCCUGCCUCCUCCUACAUCUGCGUUCUCCUCCUACGUCUACGUUCUCCUCCUACGUCUGCCUUCUCCUCCUAUAUCUGCAUUCUCUUUUUACACCUGCCUUCUCCUCCUAACCCUGCCUUCUCCUACGUCUGCGUUCUCCUCCUACCUCUGCGUUGUCCUCCUACAUCUGCGUUCCCCUCCUUCGCCUGGUCCUCCUCUUGCGUCUGUCUCCUCCUACUGUACGUCUGCCUUCUCCUCCUACGUCUGCCUUCUUCUACGUCUGCGUUCUCCUCCUACGUCUGCGUUCUCCUCCUACGCCUACGUUUUCUCCUACGUCUGUCUCCUCCUCCUAUGUCUGCGUUCUCCUGCUACCUCUGCGUUUUCCUCCUACGUCUGCCUUCUCCUCCUAUAUCUGCAUUCUCUUUUUACACCUGCCUUCUCCUCCUACGCCUGCGUUCUCCUCCUACGCCUGCCUUCUCCUUCUUCGCCUGGUCCUCCUCUUGCGUCUGUCUCCUCCUGCUGUACGUCUGCCUUCUCCUCCUAUAUCUGUGUUCUUCUUUUACGCCUGCCUUCUCCUACGUCUGCGUUCUCCUCCUACGUCUGCGUUCUCCUCCUACGUCUGCCUUCUCCUCCUACGUCUGCGUUCUCCUCCUACCUCUGCGUUUUCCUCCUACGUCUGCCUUCUCCUCCUAUAUCUGCAUUCUCUUUUUACACCUGCCUUCUCCUCCUAACCCUGCCUUCUCCUACGUCUGCGUUCUCCUCCUACGUCUGCGUUCUCCUCCUACGUCUGUGA